CUCUGGUUUCAGCAGCUCAGUCCGCUGAGUUAUUGAUUGCAGGCAGCAACAAUCCCUCCGGGUGAUUUGUGUGGAAAGUGAAUCCGCGCUGGCUGGGCGUUCACAGGGGCGCAACAGCCGCAACGCCAUCCAAUAAUUGCCGGUCGUCCCCUCCAACACCGCUCUCCACCUAUAUACUCCUUUCUCUGCCCAUCGCCGCUUCCCCCCACCCACUUUUCUCUGGAGCGGACCGACCUACCUACUCCAGCUCAGCCCGUCUCCGCUUCCCCCCACCCACUUUCCUCCGAGCGGACGGAGCCGAGGGGGCGGGGGCUCCCUCCCGGGAGUGUUUCUAGAGCUCCGAGGCAGCUAGUAGGGGUUUCAUUGUCCGCAUGUUUAAAGUCUAAGAGAAAAAAAAAAUCUCUGGAUAUGAAGUUGGGAGAUAGAUCCAAGUCUACAUCUACGUCCUCAUGUUGGUGACCUUGGGGCACCACUUUCAGAUAAAAACAUAGACCUGAAUGGCAUCAUCCAGUAUCCAAGGAAACCAUAUGAUCUUUCCUGCCUGGGUUAUAUCUGCAGAGCAGCCGACACUCAUUCUUAUAGAUGUGUUUAUGUUUGAGAUUGGAUGUAAUGGAGGAUGGAAGGAUAUAAAAUGAGAGAAGGCUUGGAAACCAAGAACAUCACUCAUUCACAAAUACAUUAUGUCCCAGACCCUGUUUUGACUCCAGAGUUGGAAUAUGGUGGUCCUUACUGUUCUAGAGCUCAUGGUCAAUGGGGGAUAUGAACGCUAAUCAGUCAGUUGCAAUGCAGUUGUAUUUGUUUUUGUGACAAGAGGAAGAAUAGGAUGGUAAGAAGGUAUAUAGAAGGGAUGCCCGUGGUCAGGGGAGCCUUUCUGAAGGAAGUGCUACCUACUUUGAGGACUUCAAGAACUCCUCUAGAGAUCACUGGAUAAAGAAUAUGAAGCUGAUAUGAUGGGAACCACUGGAGAUUUUGAGAUGGUCUAUUUAUUGAGAGCAACUUAGAUCCUAAAUUUGUCACCAGCUCUGGAUUUCUCUCCCAAGCCAGGAUUGUGUGAAGUCAUUACAAUUUAAAGCAUACUGUCGGCCGGUCAUUCCCUGGACUCCCACUUCUGUUUCACCCCCAACAUACAGAGUAGAGAAGAAAUGAACUACUACAUGGAGAUUGCUUUCUCCUACUUAUCAAGACAGAGUGGUGUACAUUCACUUCUUCUUUUGGGGGCAUGUGUUCCAAGAAGAAGCAGAUUUCCAUUACAGACUUGAAACUGAGGUGUGUGAGGAGCACACAGAUAUCUUUCUUUUGAACUUUGAAGGAGAUAAUUUGCUGUUAACAUAAAAAUAAGACUAUUCACAAAUCAUUAGCUCUGAAGAAAAAUGACAUCAACAUUGUGAGGUACUCCGCCUGUUGGACAAAUACAAAAAGAAUCGAUUGUGGCAUAACUCUGGACUAAAGAGCAUCAGUGAAUAACUGCCUGCAGGGCUUGUUAUAUUUCUGAGUUGUAUGUAUGGUUUACAGUUGCGGCCAUGUGGUAAUUGCACCAAGUUGACCAUAUUAAUAGUGAGUUUAUCUACACCAUCUGCUGUUAUAUUGACAUCUACGUUUUUCAACAUAGCACCCUAUUUUUGUUCUGUUAUUUCUUCUUUUCCUUCUUCAUUUCCAACCAUCCCUACUGAUGUCUGCACCAUUUCAUGUUAUCAAAAAAAGGAGGCUUUCAGUGGAGAAGUGAUGGAUGGCAGGGAUAAGUGACCAAAGAACUCAGUAGAAAAAAGUUGUAAUUCAUGGCCCCAUACAACUGUAAAAAGGUGAGUCUUCAGGUAAGAAAGUAUAUGGAGUAAGCGUGAAAGAGACAGGAGGGUUUAAAAGAAUCAAAGGAAAUGGCUGAUAGGAUAAAGGAGAAUGAGGGCCAUACAUGUGUAGGAUAAUGGCAGAACAGUUCAGAGAUUAAGACGGCAUUAAUGUGAUCAUCAGAAAGAUACUUCAAAGUUUUGGCAACAUACUCCAACAGCAGUAACUCCAAAGAGCCUUCUGAAAUCAGGAGACAACAGGUGAGGUUUCCUUGAACUUUAUUCUUGAAUUGCAGUGAAGAUUAACUUGUAUAAGCCCCAUUUUCUGAUGUUUUAGUUUGUUUCCAAAGCGCUGUUCCUUCCAGUUCAUUUUUUCACUUAUCCUCACAAGGUAGCUGUGAUAGCUUCUGAGCAAAUCUCCUGGCACCCAACUCUUAGCUAAUUCCAUUAGAAAACACUGACUUUGUGUGUGAAAGGUGAAAAAAAUUCUAUUAAAUCGUUGCUAGAUUUUUAGAACUAUAGCUAAAGUUCAGGAAAGGCUUGGGGUUCCAAAGAGUAGAAAGAUAGAGAAAAGAGCAAAUGUAUAUAUUCAGUAUAAGCCAACAGAAUUAACCUGGGCAUUAUUUGAGCUUUUGUUCCCUGAAGCCAUGGAUCAAUGGUGCAGAAAUAGACACUCACCUCUGACAAAGAAAAAGCAUGGAUACUGGCAUGGGAGGGCAUGGUUCCUUUUCUUUCAGUCCCAGAUCAAAUUUAAACCUGUGAUUUUGGAGCUUACUCAUCAGAGGAGAAAUAUCAUGAGCUAUUUGCUCUCUCUGCUGUAACACAGCUCUGGCAAGCCUGGAAGUUGUGUUGAGAUCGUCAAAUCUAUAGUCAAGGACCAUCUUUGUGAAUCAUGAAACCAUAUGCCACUGGUUGUCUGAAUUGGAGGAAAAAAACACCCCAAAACAAAAAAACCCAACUCUACACCAACGAAACUAGUGAUGUGCUUAGACAGUGCCAAGGGCCAUUUGACCAUCUUACACCUUCUCAAUCUAUGCAUUUAAAAAAUUUGUUGCUACUGCCUGAACCAUGUAAAAUACCAGAACUCCUGUAGUGCUAACAAGGAAUAAAGAUCUUGCACCAGA
This is a long non-coding RNA of Neofelis nebulosa (Clouded leopard), 2905 nucleotides long. RefSeq lists it as uncharacterized. Lineage: Eukaryota; Metazoa; Chordata; Mammalia; Carnivora; Felidae. The transcript is spliced from 6 exons. The record is from RefSeq and is a predicted model, not a curated record.